This is an RNA transcript of Humulus lupulus (European hop), 1384 nucleotides long. It is a transcript of the gene named ATPase 5, plasma membrane-type-like, with no coding region annotated. The record is from RefSeq and is a predicted model, not a curated record. Lineage: Eukaryota; Viridiplantae; Streptophyta; Magnoliopsida; Rosales; Cannabaceae. The transcript has 4 exons.
CCCAAAUACCCGCUAUCUUUAUUGUUUGCCGCUCCCUCCCCAAAUUCCCUAUUUUUCUCUUGAACUCCAUUUCUUCUCUCUUUCUCCAUAUCCCUUCUUCUUCUCGCAAAUCCAUGGAAGACCACAGUCAAGCCCGCGGGGUGAGCAUUCGCGAAGGCGGAGCACGAAGAGGCUUGCGAAGGCCUGACGUUGCUCACAGCGGAGGUGUGCGGUGGCUCGCAGCGAAGGCAAAGCUGGGUUGACGAUGGGCGCAAGGAUGGGGCUGGAUCUCUCAGAGUGGAACAGGAAUGGUUUCAGCAUCUAUUUGGUUUUUAGUUGCAGAGAUUGUUUUUUAAUGUGCAGGUAUAUAUAUGUAUAUAUGGCGCAGAAAAGAAAGUGAUGAAAUUCCAUGACUGUCUUUACCACAAAUAAAGACUAUGGAAAAGAAGAGAGAGAAGCACAAUGGGCUGCAACACAGAAGACACUCCAUGGUCUUCAACCACCGGAAUCCAACAAUAUUUUCCCGAAAAAAGUAGUUUCAGGGAGCUUUCAUAGAUUGCAGAACAAGCCAAGCGCAGGGCUGAGGUGGCAAGACUUAGGGAGUUGCAUACACUCAAGGGUCAUGUUAAGUCAGUGGUGAAGUUGAAAGGUACCUUUCCUGACACACUCUCACUCUCACCAGGUACACACACAUAUUUUAUUCAUUUUAUUUCAGUUUUAACUUCAUUUUUUUUCUCUCUCUCUCUGUCUCUGAUUUGCUACUACGAAGAAAAUCACCCAAAACCAGUUUUGAUUUUGUGGUAUAUAUAUGUAUUUAUUUAUAUAUGAUUUACAGUUGGUUGAUAAAUAUAUGAGAUUUGUAGUUGGUUUUUGUUUUUGUUGAUAAAUAAAUAUGAUCUAUAGAUUUGUUUUUGUUUAUAUCUGUAGUUUUUUUAUUUGUUUUGAGAUUUGUUUAAUGGAGUGAAAAAGUGAGACUUUGGUGGAAAAAUAUGUCUAAUUUUUGUAUGAUUGUCAUUAGUUGCACUGAUUUAAGGAGGUUUUGUUAUAUUCUUGGUUUUCCAAAUUUAAAGCUUGUGGUGCUUGAUUACAUGAUUUGUUAUGUUUUACAGGUUAAAUUUUUUGUUGUAUUAAUUUUAUUCUCUCUUUUUUGUGUCUAAAAGGGGAAAGUUUUUGGGUUUUCUAUGUAAAUUAUGUUAGGAGUGUGUCCUAAAAGUAUGUAAUGUAAAGACAUUUGUUUUUUCUGUGAAUAAAUAAAUACAAUGGUUUAUUAUUAUUGUCAUAUUUAGAUUAUUAAAUUAUUGUUUGAAUAAUUUUGUAAAUAUCAUAAAAAUUCCAUAUUCAUUAUCGAGGGUGUGAUCUUGUAUUAGUACGAGAGAAUUAAGAUCACAUGAAUGAAUAAAAAUAG